Molecule: ribosomal RNA, 467 nt
Filed under: uncultured bacterium
Lineage: Bacteria
Description: partial 16S ribosomal RNA
Rfam family: Bacterial small subunit ribosomal RNA
Source: RNAcentral
GACGAACGCUGGCGGCGUGCUUAACACAUGCAAGUCGAACGGAAAGGCCUCUUUCGGGGGGUACUCGAGUGGCGAACGGGUGAGUAACACGUGAGUAACCUGCCCUUGACUUUGGGUUAACUUCAGGAAACUGGGGCUAAUACCGGAUAGGAGCUCCUGCUGCAUGGUGGGGGUUGGAAAGUUUCGGCGGUUGGGGAUGGACUCGCGGCUUAUCAGCUUGUUGGUGGGGUAGUGGCUUACCAAGGCUUUGACGGGUAGCCGGCCUGAGAGGGUGACCGGCCACAUUGGGACUGAGAUACGGCCCAGACUCCUACGGGAGGCAGCAGUGGGGAAUAUUGCACAAUGGGUGGAAGCCUGAUGCAGCAACGCCGUGGGCGGGAUGACGGCCUUCGGGUUGUAAACCGCUUUCGCUCAUGACGAAGCUUUGUGUGACGGUAGUGGGUAAAGAAGCACCGGCUAACUACGUG